AAGAAAUAGAGCUUCCACAUCUGAUAUGUGGAAUGACUUCGACAAGAUUCGUAUAUGAACUUCAAUAGCAUUACAAAAUUUGCUGACGUUCUGUACAUAUAUAAUUAACGAGAAGAAACAAUAGUCAAAGAUUUAUUAGGAACCAUUUAUUCAGAUCAACCAUUUAUUCAGAUCACGCAAGCAGCGUAUAUAGCUAGCUACCAAUACGUACGAGUCUCACAGCAGGCUUGGAACCGAAGCAUCUCCCCCGCAGCACUUCACAAAGCAACAGCACUGGCCGCUUUUCCCAGGGGGGUUGGAGCAUUUCACGACAGGGUCGACGUACCCGGUCGCCUUGCAAACCAUGGUGCACGUCUCUUUGUCGCAUUUCCCUCCAUGCAAGUCGAAACAGUUUACUGCACUACGACAAAACUAAGGAAGACGUUAUAUACAGACAUCCUUUGCAAAGUUGAUAUUGAAUAUAAAUUAAGGAAUUAAUAAUGUAUGCACGACCUUUUAGCCCUUGCACGGCAAGGUAGUAGGGUGAGAAGACCAUGGCCAUGGCCACGGCCAUGACGGUCGCCAAGAACAGAGCUCUACUACUGCCCAUGUAUGAUUCCUAGCUAUGAGCACCACAAGCUAAUUAAGUGCCUCCAAUGGUUGGUUGCUCACUUGCUCCUAUGUUUGGACGUGGUGUGUUCGGGUGCUAGGUUUCUGU
This 697-nucleotide long non-coding RNA is filed under the name Zea mays. RNAcentral describes it as "long non-coding RNA (ZMAY_LNC000409)". The record is from RNAcentral. Lineage: Eukaryota; Viridiplantae; Streptophyta; Magnoliopsida; Poales; Poaceae.